GAUGAACGCUAGCUACAGGCUUAACACAUGCAAGUCGAGGGGAAACGAUAUUGGAAGCUUGCUUCCGAUAGGCGUCGACCGGCGCACGGGUGAGUAACGCGUAUCCAACCUGCCCGUCACUUGGGAAUAACCUUGCGAAAGUAAGACUAAUGCCCAAUGACAUUUAUAGAAGGCAUCUGAAAUGAAUUAAAGAUUUAUCGGUGAUGGAUGGGGAUGCGUCUGAUUAGCUUGUUGGCGGGGUAACGGCCCACCAAGGCGACGAUCAGUAGGGGUUCUGAGAGGAAGGUCCCCCACAUUGGAACUGAGACACGGUCCAAACUCCUACGGGAGGCAGCAGUGAGGAAUAUUGGUCAAUGGACGGAAGUCUGAACAGCCAAGUAGCGUGCAGGAUGACGGCCUUAUGGGUUGUAAACUGCUUUAUAAGGGAANAAAGUGAGUCUCGUGAGACUUUUUUGCAUGUACCUUAUGAAUAAGGACCGGCUAA
RNAcentral lists this ribosomal RNA (484 nucleotides) under uncultured bacterium. RNAcentral's name for it is "bacterial SSU rRNA". It matches the Rfam family "Bacterial small subunit ribosomal RNA", at positions 28 to 500 of the family's 1533-position model. The record is from RNAcentral.